CAGGGAAUCUUGCACAAUGGACGAAAGUCUGAUGCAGCGACGCCGCGUGGGGGAUGAAGGCCCUAGGGUCGUAAACCCCUUUCAGUGGGGACGAAAAUGACGGUACCCACAGAAGAAGGUCCGGCCAACUACGUGCCAGCAGCCGCGGUAAGACGUAGGGACCGAGCGUUGUCCGGAAUUAUUGGGCGUAAAGAGCUCGUAGGCGGUUGCGUAAGUCGGAUGUGAAAGCUCAGGGCUCAACCCUGAGACGCCAUCCGAUACUGCGCUGACUUGAAUCCAGUAGGGGAGUGUGGAAUUCCUGGUGUAGCGGUGAAAUGCGCAGAUAUCAGGAGGAACACCUAUGGCGAAGGCAGCACUCUGGGCUGGUAUUGACGCUGAGGAGCGAAAGCAUGGGUAGCAAACAGGAUUAGAUACCCCCGUAGUCC
RNAcentral lists this ribosomal RNA (425 nucleotides) under uncultured prokaryote. RNAcentral describes it as "bacterial SSU rRNA". It matches the Rfam family "Bacterial small subunit ribosomal RNA", at positions 355 to 796 of the family's 1533-position model. The record is from RNAcentral.